This 497-nucleotide ribosomal RNA is filed under the name uncultured bacterium. Its description in RNAcentral is "bacterial SSU rRNA". It matches the Rfam family "Bacterial small subunit ribosomal RNA", at positions 28 to 532 of the family's 1533-position model. The record is from RNAcentral.
GACGAACGCUGGCGGCGUGCCUAACACAUGCAAGUCGAGCGGGGUUGAAGCGAGGGGUAACUCGAGUUUCUACCUAGCGGCGGACGGGUGAGUAACGCGUGGGCAACCUGCCUCAAGGACUGGGAUAACAGCUCGAAAGGGCUGCUAAUACCGGAUAAGCCUAUGGCCUCGCAUGGGGCCAUGAGCAAAGGGGAACCCGCCUUGAGAUGGGCCCCGUCCCAUCAGCUAGUUGGUGAGGUGAAGGCUCACCAAGGCGACGACGGGUAGCCGGCCUGAGAGGGUGACCGGCCACACUGGGACUGAGACACGGCCCAGACUCCUACGGGGGCAGCAGUGGGGAAUCUUGCACAAUGGGCGAAAGCCUGAUGCAGCGACGCCGCGUGAGCGAAGAAGGCCUUCGGGUUGUAAAGCUCUGUCUGGAGGGACGAAGGAGUGACGGUACUCCGGAGGAACGCCACGGCUAACUACGUGCCAGCAGCCGCGGUAAUCUCGUCUCU